CACAUGCAGUCGAACGGAGCUGAGAGGAGCUUGCUUUUCUUAGCUUAGUGGCGAACGGGUGAGUAACGCGUGAGUAACCUGCCCUGGAGUGGGGGACAACAGUUGGAAACGACUGCUAAUACCGCAUAAGCCCAUGGCCCGGCAUCGGGCUGAGGGAAAAGGAUUUAUUCGCUUCAGGAUGGACUCGCGUCCAAUUAGCUAGUUGGUGAGGUAACGGCCCACCAAGGCGACGAUUGGUAGCCGGACUGAGAGGUUGAACGGCCACAUUGGGACUGAGACACGGCCCAGACUCCUACGGGAGGCAGCAGUGGGGAAUAUUGCACAAUGGGGGAAACCCUGAUGCAGCGACGCCGCGUGGAGGAAGAAGGUCUUCGGAUUGUAAACUCCUGUUGUUGAGGAAGAUAAUGACGGUACUCAACAAGGAAGUGACGGCUAACUACGUGCCAGCAGCCGCGGUAAAACGUAGGUCACAAGCGUUGUCCGGAAUUACUGGGUGUAAAGGGAGCGCAGGCGGGAGAACAAGUUGGAAGUGAAAUCCAUGGGCUCAACCCAUGAACUGCUUUCAAAACUGUUUUUCUUGAGUAGUGCAGAGGUAGGCGGAAUUCCCGGUGUAGCGGUGGAAUGCGUAGAUAUCGGGAGGAACACCAGUGGCGAAGGCGGCCUACUGGGCACCAACUGACGCUGAGGCUCGAAAGUGUGGGUAGCAAACAGGAUUAGAUACCCUGGUAGUCCACACCGUAAACGAUGAUUACUAGGUGUUGGAGGAUUGACCCCUUCAGUGCCGCAGUUAACACAAUAAGUAAUCCGCCUGGGGAGUACGACCGCAAGGUUGAAACUCAAAGGAAUUGACGGG
Molecule: ribosomal RNA, 853 nt
Filed under: uncultured bacterium
Lineage: Bacteria
Description: bacterial SSU rRNA
Rfam family: Bacterial small subunit ribosomal RNA
Source: RNAcentral